This is an RNA transcript of Oncorhynchus tshawytscha (Chinook salmon), 4901 nucleotides long. It is a transcript of the gene named sema domain, immunoglobulin domain (Ig), transmembrane domain (TM) and short cytoplasmic domain, (semaphorin) 4Gb, with no coding region annotated. Lineage: Eukaryota; Metazoa; Chordata; Actinopteri; Salmoniformes; Salmonidae. The transcript has 16 exons. The record is from RefSeq and is a predicted model, not a curated record.
GACACAUCUGACCAAUGAGUUGCAUGUUACCAUGUCAGAAGUAGCAAGGAUAUGAGCAUAGAGAUAAUUGUUUACAAUGGCAAGAAGGGAUUGAUUAACAUUCUAAUUUGAAACCAUUUGCGCAUGUAUUGAGAAAGCGAGAGAGCGUGAGCGCGACACCGGUGUGGGGACUAGAAUAGACAUAUGCAUGCGCAAUAUGCUGGUUUGACAGAGCAGAGGCUGGCAUAUGCGCGCUGGACUGCGCAUCACUCCAACACCACGCGGGGACUCACAAAUAAUGAUUCUAUAGAAGAGUAUUCUCUAGUUUCGUAGAACAUUUGCAAGAGUGAGCCUUCCAACAGACAGAGGAUGACCUAGAAGCCACCACUGCUGAGCCCAACAGAGGAUAAUAUCACUUGUGUGUGUAAGCAACAAAGGUGUGUGACAGCGCACAGGGCUCCACCUGCACCCAGGUCAGCCUGGCAAACAUGGGGGACCACGUCACACUUCUGCCCCCCUUCCUACAGCUGCUCCUCUGUAGCCUGUCAGGGGUAUGGGGGUUCCCCUUCGGCCCUGUCCUUGACGUCACCCCCAGGACCACGGUGCUCUACCAAGGCCUGCUGGGUUGCCAGCGGUUCAGCAGCCCAUCUCAGAACUACAGCACACUGCUACUGGAGGAGGACAAUGGGGUGCUGUAUGUAGGGGCCAGGGGGGCUCUCUACGCCCUGGACACCACCAACAUCUCUACACCUGGCAAUCUCACGAUUGAUUGGGAAGCUUCGGCAGAGCAGAAGAAGCAGUGUCUCAACAAAGGAAAAGACAAUCAGACAGAUUGUUACAAUCACAUCCGCUUCCUGCAGAGGUACAAUGAGACUCACCUGUACGUCUGUGGCACGCACGCCUUCAGGCCCCUCUGUGCUUACAUAGAUGUGGAACGCUUCAGUUUCUCCUCUGGCUUCGAAGAGGGCAGGGACAGGUGUCCCUACGACCCAGCCAAGGGCUACACCGGCCUCCUUGUGGACGGUGAGAUGUUCUCAGCCUCCCAGUAUGAGUUCCGCAGCUCUCCGGAUGUCCGUCGGAACUUCCCCUUCCCCACUCUGAGGACAGAGGAGGCCCCCACCAGAUGGCUGCUGGAGGCGGACUUUGUGGGCUCGGCGCUGCUGAAGGAGAGUGUCAACAGCUCAGUGGGCGACGACGACAAGAUCUACUUCUUCUUCACAGAGAGGAGCCAGGAGCAGAUGGCCUACCCCAGCCAGACCAGGGUGGCACGGGUGGCCCGCAUCUGCAAGGGUGACUGGGGGGGCCAGAGGACCUUGCAGAGGAAGUGGACGUCCUUCCUGAAGGCCAGGCUGGUGUGCUCCGUUCCUGACUACGAGCUCCACCUCAAUGUGCUGCGUAGUGUCUUCGUACUGGAGGCCCGAGACAUACACAGCACCGUCUUCUACGGGAUCUUUGGCCUGGAAUGGAAAAAUAUCAAGGCAUCUGCGGUGUGCCAGUACUCCUUCACAGAUAUUCAGAGGGCCUUCGAGGGGCCUUACAUGGAGGUGCAGGAUUCCAAAUGGAGGGAAUAUACAGGGAAGGUUCCAGUACCAAGGCCUGGCUCGUGUAUGACAGACGUGCACAGGUCCCAGGGCAUCAACUCGUCCCGUGACCUCCCAGACGACGUGUUAGCCUUUGCGAGGCAGCACCCCCUGAUGUCCACCCAGAUCCACCCCAUAGGAGAGCACCCCCUACUGUUCAAGAGAAGUGUCAAUUACGUAAAGAUGGUCGUGCACAGGGUGGCAGCUCUGGACCGACACGUCUACACAGUGCUCUUGUUGGGAACUGAUGAGGGUUGGCUGCACAGGGCUGUGGAGAUAGGAGGUCAAAUGCACAUCAUAGAGGAGCUGCAGCUGUUUGUGAACCCUCAGCCUAUAGACAACAUGGUCAUCUCCCAGGCACAGGAAAGUGUCUAUGUUGGCUCCAACUCUGCAGUGCUCCAGGUCCCCUUGUCCUCCUGCCAGCGCUACACGUCCUGUUUCGACUGUGUGUUUGCCCGGGACCCCUUCUGUGGCUGGGAUGGGGCGCUGUGUGUGAAAAUUUCCUCACGCACAAACAGGUCCAAUCUAACCCAGGAUAUACAGGGGGGGAAAAGAGGCUGUGACAACAGCACAGGAGUUGUCCACCGCAGGCGUACAGUGAUGUCUGGGGACGAUGUCCUCCUCCAUUGCGAUCUGCGUUCCAACCUGGCCACUCCACGCUGGACCCUGGAUGGCCACCAGCUCCAGGGCUACGGCCUCGACUCGGGCCAUCGUGUGGGCACUGACGGCCUGCUCCUCAUCUGCGCCAGGCCCGACCAGAGCGGAGACUAUCGCUGCUACGCCGUGGAGAACGACGUGUGGGUACCAGUGAGGAUGUACACCGUGACGGUUCAACCUGACCUGCCUUUCCCUGUGAGGCCAACAGUCAUGACGGACACUUUAUCAACCACCACCACUACCGCCCCACCAAGCCCUUCCCUUCCCCCCAGCAGCCCCACCGAGCAGCCCCUGCCCUCCCUGCUGGCUCCCCUCCCCCCUGGACCCAAGUUCCAGACCUACAGGCACAUGGAGGCCGUGUAUAUCUCCCUGGUGGCCGUGCUGGGCGGGCUGUGCCUGGUGCUGACCGUAGUGCUGCUCUACGUCAGCUUCUGCAGCCGGGGGCCAUACCAGGGCCGCAAGUACUCCCAGCAGGGGCUGCCCGAGUCGGGGGCCGCAGCCGAGAGGAAGAGGAGCUCCCACCUGGAGCUCAAGACCAUCUCCAGCCACUGCAACGGCAGGCAGGAAAGCGAGCACGGACGCCGCUCCCUGUCAGUAUCCAACAUGGACGACAUGGGCGAUGGCUUCCUCCAGAUCGUGCCCGCAGAAGGAUCUCCCGGGAAAUCGCCGCCCCCUCCCGCUCCGCCGCUCCCAAUGCCACCACCCCUGCCCUCCUCGGAGUACGUGUCGUCAGAGUAUACCAACGGGAUGUCGGCGACAUUACCCAGCGUCCUACGCAAGAUGAACGGCAACAGCUACGUGCUGCUGAGGCAGACGACGGACCCAGAGGGGAGCACGUCUCCCCUCUACCACUCGUUCACCGAAGAGCUCAACCGCAUCCUGGAGAAGAGGAAGCACACGCAACUGGACCCCCAGGAGACAGACGAUAGCUCCGUCUAGCCCCACCUUGAGCUCUUUCCUGUUGAUCUGUUUAUUGGUUUAACCCAACUACAAAAUAGUGCCCCCAAGAGGCAGGGAGGUCUAAAUUGUAUUAUACAGCUUUAGUUUACCCAGUGCCAAAGCGACCUGUGGGAGUAUUCAUACCUAAAAACCCAAUGUGCAACUUCCCGUGACUCGAGACGAGUGACCCACCCACAUAAUUUCACUAUUGAACAUUGGAGUAAAGAGGACUUUGUGACCUUUCCCUAACUGGAGCAGUCAUGGAUAUCGUCAUGGUAUCCAUUUUGGACACACACUGUACUAGUGCAUGGACCCUUUGAUGAACUUCCAAGCAAAUACAUGAUACAUACACAAGUUAGUUACAAUCCUACCUCAGACCCUAACCCUAUUGUGGAAGCUGGUCAAUUACGAUAAGUUUCAGUGCUGGUCUAGACAGCUGACAUACUGACAGAGAGCGCUGUGAUGCAUCGUGGGACAAGGGACACAGACAUGAGAGUCCAGAUCAUAUGACCAAUGACCAUGAAGUAAGAUGGUAAUGAUUCGACUGAGGAACUAUUCAAGCCUGUAUGAACAAUAUAGACCAUCUUCGGAACUGUUGAAUUUAGACAACGAUGGCUACUGUAGUUUAGUGCCACACAGUGUACUUAUAUGAUGGCUCUUAAAGACCCAGACCUACUGAACAAAUAAUACACUUCAGUCAUAACUCAAUAACACACACUUAUCUUUCUUUUCUUUUGUUCUCAUGUAAAUAGCUAUUAUAUUUCUGUGGCAACCAUCAGUAGCAACUUUGGAAAUAAUGGCAAUUGAAAUGGUUGUAGCGAAACCAAAUUGAAAUUAUUUUUUGCAUCUUUGUGUUGUUAGCAUCUGACAGAGAGGUGUCAGAGAGAUAAAACAGCAGUAUUAUAGAUAGACAGCAGGCUUCAUCUAAGCUUGGCCGAAUUAACACUAUCAUUGAAGGAUGAAGACUAUCAUGAAGGACUGAUCUCUCGCCAGAUUGAUCAGAGAAGAUGAGUGAUGAUGAUGAUGAAGACGGUGGGACCUGAUUGCCAGAAAUGUGUGAGCCCAACAGGAGACAAGAAAGCAAAGAUACACAAGGAGAUGGAGAAGCUGGUGAAUGGAAGAUGAAGUGUGUGACGAACCCUGAUGAUCUGAGCCAGUGUCUGCUCAAAACACACCAAAGGACAACCAGUGUGUUCAAUCUCCGCUGGCAGUGAACUUGGAUGCGGCUAUGGAUAUUGUACUGUACUUGCUACUUAUGGUCAAAUGGCAAACAUGCUGGCUGCUACACUCAAAACACACCUUCAGUAUACUGUAUACCUCCAGUACACACCUUCAGUAUACUGUAUGUCCCCAUAAACAGUGUGGAAGUCUAAUUUCAACAAACAUAGGCACUCACGUCAUACAGACAUGACAACGUUCAAGUCAAGGUUUAGACAUGAACUCUACGUCACCUACAGAAUACAUUUGAGUGAACAAUGACUAAAAGACGCAUUUGCACUAUACCUCUUCUGAGGACUUAUUUGCUCUGUACAUAAGAACAUCACCCUUGUAAAGUGUUACAUCCAUGUGCUACAUCCAUGUGCUACAUCCAUGUGCUACAUCCAUGUGCUACAUCCAUGUUAUGUGUUUUGUUGUUUUCUGGCUCGAUGUAGAAAUUACGAAUACUUUACAAUCUACACUGAACAGAAAUAAGCGCAACAUGUAAAGUGUUGGUCCCAUGUUUCAUGAGCUGAAAUAAAAAAAAUC